UUAACACAUGUAAGUCGAACGCAACCUUCGGGUUGAGUGGCGGACGGGUGAGUAACGCGUGAGAAUCUGCCUUGGGGUCGGGGACAACCACUGGAAACGGUGGCUAAUACCGGAUAAGCCUUUGGGUAAAAAAUUUAUUGCCCCAAGAGGAGCUCGCGUCUGAUUAGCUAGUUGGUGAGGUAAAAGCUCACCAAGGCAGCGAUCAGUAGCUGGUCUGAGAGGACGAUCAGCCACACUGGGACUGAGACACGGCCCAGACUCCUACGGGAGGCAGCAGUGGGGAAUUUUCCGCAAUGGGCGAAAGCCUGACGGAGCAAGACCGCGUGAGGGAGGAAGGCUCUUGGGUUGUAAACCUCUUUUCUCAGGGAAGAAGCUCUGACGGUACCUGAGGAAUCAGCCUCGGCUAACUCCGUGCCAGCAGCCGCGGUAAUACGGAGGAGGCAAGCGUUAUCCGGAAUUAUUGGGCGUGAAGCGUCCGCAGGUGGCGAUUCAAGUCUGCUGUCAAAGCACGGGGCUUAACUCCGUUAAGGCAGUGGAAACUGAAUAGCUAGAGUGCCGUAGGGGUAGAGGGAAUUCCCGGUGUAGCGGUGAAAUGCGUAGAGAUCGGGAAGAACAUCGGUGGCGAAAGCGCUCUACUGGACGGCAACUGACACUCAGGGACGAAAGCUAGGGGAGCGAAUGGGAUUAGAUACCCCAGUAGUCCUAGCUGUAAACGAUGGAUACUAGGUGUAGCUUGUAUCGACCCGAGCUGUGCCGAAGCUAAACGCGUUAAGUAUCCCGGCUGGGGAGUACGCACGCAAGUGUGAAACUCAAAGGAAUUUGAUGGGGGCCCGUACAAGCGGUGGUAGUAUGUGGUUUAAUUCGAUGCAACGCGAAGAACCUUACCAGGGCUUGACAUCGUCCAGGAAUCCCGUUGAAAGCUGGGACUUCCUUCGGGAGCAAGGAACACAGGUGCUGCAUGGCUGUCGUCAGCUCGUGUCGUGAGAUGUUGGGUUUAGUCCCGCAACGAGCGCAACCCUCGUACUUUUAGUCGCCAGCAUUAAGUUGGGCACUCUAGAGAGACUGCCGGUGACAAACCGGAGGAAGGUGGGGAUGACGUCAAGUCAGCAUGCCCCUUACGCUCUGGGC
Molecule: ribosomal RNA, 1128 nt
Filed under: uncultured organism
Description: bacterial SSU rRNA
Rfam family: Bacterial small subunit ribosomal RNA
Source: RNAcentral